CCUACGGGAGGCAGCAGUAAGGAAUAUUGGUCAAUGGACGAGAGUCUGAACCAGCCAAGUAGCGUGAAGGAUGACUGCCCUAUGGGUUGUAAACUUCUUUUAUAUGGGAAUAAAACGUUCCACGUGUGGGAUUUUGUAUGUACCAUAUGAAUAAGGAUCGGCUAACUCCGUGCCAGCAGCCGCGGUAAUACGGAGGAUCCGAGCGUUAUCCGGAUUUAUUGGGUUUAAAGGGAGCGUAGGUGGAUUGUUAAGUCAGUUGUGAAAGUUUGCGGCUCAACCGUAAAAUUGCAGUUGAAACUGGCAGUCUUGAGUACAGUAGAGGUGGGCGGAAUUCGUGGUGUAGCGGUGAAAUGCUUAGAUAUCACGAAGAACUCCGAUUGCGAAGGCAGUUCACUGGACUGCAACUGACACUGAGGCUCGAAAGUGUGGGUAUCAAACAGGAUUAGAUACCCGUGUAGUC
Molecule: ribosomal RNA, 460 nt
Filed under: uncultured bacterium
Lineage: Bacteria
Description: partial 16S ribosomal RNA
Rfam family: Bacterial small subunit ribosomal RNA
Source: RNAcentral